UCUCUGUUGGGAGAGGGGCUCUUUGGCGGAAGCCGUAAAGGUCUCUGCUUGCAGAAACCGACCAAGAGCCCCUCUCCCAACAGAGACAAACACAGGGAGGGACAGUGUUAAUAAUUGAGAAUCCAGCUCAAUUCCUUUAGAGGCCGAAUCGUUGCGAAUGGAAAAUAUAGUUAUAAGUAGCACAGAACUGAGUAUGGAACCAAGAGAAGAUGGGGUUUCCGAUGUUGCAAAUGGAUCCUCGGUGGUUACUUGUUCUUUGUUGCGGAGAAGGAUUGAGUUCCACCCUGCAAGAAAAUCGUUUACUGGGUUGAGAAAUAGCAGUGCUGGUGGCGAUUUUCGAAUUGAGACUCUAAACCCUGAUCCUGGUCGUAAGAGGCCUUCAGGGUUGAACCCUUAUCAGACUGGGAAAAAAGUGGACGGGUCGGAUUUCGUUGAGAAUGGGCUUGAUCCGGAGCUCAGUUUCGGGAUUUCUUUUAGGAAAAUUGGUGCUGGUUUGGAAAAUCUUGGAAACACUUGUUUUCUCAAUUCGGUUUUGCAGUGUCUAACAUAUACUGAGCCUCUGGCAGCAUACUUGCAAAGUGGAAAGCAUCAAAAUUCUUGCCAUAUUGCUGGUUUUUGUGCGUUGUGUGCUAUCCAGAAACAUGUUAGUCGUGCUCUGCAAUCAACUGGGAGGUCACUGGUGCCCAAGGAUCUUGUAUCAAACUUGCGUUGCAUAUCUCGGAACUUCAGAAAUGCUAGACAGGAGGAUGCUCAUGAGUACAUGGUAAACUUGCUGGAAUCAAUGCACAAAUGCUGCUUACCUUCAGGAGUUCCAAGUGAAUCCCCUGCUGCUUAUGAAAAGAGUUUGGUGCACAAAAUCUUUGGUGGUCGCCUCUGUAGUCAGGUGGAAUGCCAACAAUGUUUGUACUGCUCCAACAAGUUUGAUCCAUUUUUAGAUUUAAGUCUUGAAAUAGUUAAGGCAGGUUCUUUGCCUGUAGCAAUUCAAAACUUUACUGCUGCAGAGCUGCUAGAUGGAGGAGAGAAGCAUUAUCAAUGCCAGCGAUGCAAGCAGAAAGUUAGAGCUAAGAAAAGGCUUACAGUUCAUAAAGCUCCAUAUGUGCUUACCAUCCAUCUAAAGCGCUUUCAUGCACAUGAUCCUGGACGGAAAGUUGACAAGAAAGUGUCAUUUGAUCGUUCAUUGGACAUGAAACCAUUUGUCAGUGGUUCCUAUGAAGGAGAUUUGAUGUACAGUCUCUAUGGUGUUCUGGUACACUUUGGUCAUAGUACCCAUUCUGGUCACUAUGUCUGUUUUGUUCGCACAUCAAGUGGUAUAUGGUAUCUCCUCAAUGACAAUGAGGUUCGCCCAGUUAGUGAGAAGACUGUUCUAGACCAGAAGGCUUAUAUGCUAUUUUAUGUCCGUGAUAGAAAAAGUUUUGUUUCAAAAAAGCCUGUCGAUGUAGUUCGGAAAGAAAGUACAAAAGCAACUACUGGCAGUAAUAUUACGAAUUUGGUUUUCAAGCAGUUGUCAAAGGAACCUGCAGAUAAUGGCUCAGUUGGGAAUAGAUCUUUGGCUGUAGGCUGUGCUGCUGCUGUUAAUAAAAAAGAUUCACUAAAAAGUGGUGCAUCAAAGAGGAUCCUUCAGAAAGAAAAUCGACCAAUGAUUUCUGAAGGCUUAGUGAUAAAAGCAGAUCCUGGUGCAGGACCAUCAAGUUCACCAUUACCAAAGAACCUGCCAAAAGAAGUCUCUCCAAACCCAGAUCUGGAAGAUUGUUUGCCACCUUCAGCACCAUUCAUUAGUAGCAAAAGUGACACUGCUAAAGUUGAUAAUGCUAUUGUCACGCUUGGGGCGAAAAGUGCCUGUAAUGAGGCAUCUUGUAACAGCAAUGAGCCCCAAAAUUCACCUAUUGAAAAGCUUGUCACAAAUGAGGCCUCAGGAAAGAUUAAUCUCGUCUCAAAUGUGGGAGUUAAUGGAUCAGAGGAGAAGAUCCCAAGGCUCUCUCUAUCUGUAGAUUCUAGUGACAAAGUGUUGAACAAAAUAGACAGUGGAAAAUCACCAAAUAAAUCUAGCUGUAAAAGCAGUCAGGGUGGAGGUUUUCCCAAUGAGGGUGCUGCUGGGAAUUCAUUUGGUGUUGAGGAUGCAGAUAGUAGUAAACGAAUUGUAAAUGUGUUGGUUGUAUCGUCAACCCCAUCAGAUAUGCCAAAUGAAUGUCGACACAGUAAAGCUUGUGAUUGCUCAUCUCAUAAACAUUUUAAAAGGAAGCUUUUAAAUUUUAGGAUUCCAAAUAUGCAUUUUGGCUCAAAAUUAUUCAGAGCAUCUUUAGGCAUUCGGAAAAAGAAGAAACAUAGAAAGUGCAAGCACCGCUCAUCACGGACCCAGAAUGUCAUUGAAGGACAAUUGCUGGAGAGUAAUUGUUUAUCAUCAGAUGUUGGGCCAUCUACGUCAAAGAUAUCCUUGUCACUUUCAUCGGGCUCAACAAAAUCUCAAAGGAAGAGGGCUAAAUCUCGUUCAAAGUGUAGAGGCGAUACCCUGAUGGAUGCUGUGGAUGAAGGAUUUGAGAAUAGGAACAAUCAGAACAGUGUUCUGGUUGCGAUGGAUAAACAGUUAAAAAAGAGCUCAUUAUCAAUAUCUGAAGUGAACCAACAGGUUGCAAGUGUUCUUGAUUGUACAGAAAUUAGCAAAAAAGAUGUGUCAGAAAAUGUAGUGAUGUGCAUGCUUACUCGAGGUCUAGAAGAGACAUCUGGUGAGUACUUGUGUUGACCAGUCAUCCAAAUAUUUUCCAAUUAUUCAUAUAUUUUUUUUUCUCCCCGAAAUUACAAAUGUUGCCUUUUUAUCUGUUAAUUUCAUUUCAUGCAUAUGUGGUGCUGGACCUGCUGGUGUGUUGUGUGUGAGUAACUGAGUAUAUUCUUUAUCCCCUUGUAUCAUGUCGGAGCUAGUUCCAGAUAAAUAGAUGGCUGCCUUUUCCUCUUUAGGCUCUAGUUUUUAUUGUGGCCAAUGAAUUCUUAGACCAAUCCCUUUUGAACUUCUUCUGCACUUGCAAUUUCAGUCAGUGUUACCAAUGGCCUAUAGCCUCAUGCUCCAUAUACUCGGGUUUUGGCCUUGGUGAUGCUGACGUGUGAGUGUAUCCUGUGGGUUCAGGCUGAAGGAAAAUUUCUUAUUUGGAACAACUUAAAAAGAAAUAUUGUUUUCAGAUGCUUAUAAUAUAUGUCCCUGCCAUGGAAUUUCAUGCAAUUGAAAUGCAGGGUUCACGCUUAUUUCCCCGUGGUUCAGGUUAGCAUCUUCCUUCUGAGUUCACAAAAUCCUUGAUGGACCUAUGCAUAGACAGUCCUUAGGCAGUCAUCUUUUCUACAAUGCCCAGUCCUCUGUGCAACUGGAGAAAUAGCAAGAUGAUAAAUAAUAUUACUUUUCUGCUGCUUAUUAUUAGUUUGACAUGCUGAAUAUUGUUUUUGAGCCAUGCCUUGUUUGUUGCAGUUGCACAUUGGGAUGGGAUAGAGGUGCCUCAGUCCCAGAUUGUGGAAUCAAGUACUAC
RNAcentral lists this unclassified non-coding RNA (3506 nucleotides) under Hevea brasiliensis (rubber tree). The record is from RNAcentral. Lineage: Eukaryota; Viridiplantae; Streptophyta; Magnoliopsida; Malpighiales; Euphorbiaceae.